GACGAACGCUGGCGGCGUGCUUAACACAUGCAAGUCGAACGGAAAGGACCUGCGGUUGUGGUGUGCUCGAGUGGCGAAAGGGUGAGUAACACGUGAGUGACCUGCCCUUGACUUUGGGAUAACUUCAGGAAACUGGGGCUAAUACCGGGUAGGAGCUCCUGCUGCAUGGUGGUGGUUGGAAAGUUUCGGCGGUGGGGGAUGGACUCGCGGCUUAUCAGCUUGUUGGUGGGGUAGUGGCUUACCAAGGCAUUGACGGGUAGCCGGCCUGAGAGGGGUACCGGCCACAUCGGGACUGGGCUACGGCACAGACUCCUACGGGACGCAGCAGUGGGGAAUAUUGCACAAUGGGCUGAAGGCUGAUGCAGCAACGCCGCGUGCGGUAUGACAGCCUGCGGGUUGGUAACCGCUUUCGCCUGUGACGAAGCGUGAGUGACGGUAAUGGGUAAAGAAGCACCGGCUAACUACGUG
This 468-nucleotide ribosomal RNA is filed under the name uncultured bacterium. RNAcentral's name for it is "partial 16S ribosomal RNA". It matches the Rfam family "Bacterial small subunit ribosomal RNA", at positions 28 to 507 of the family's 1533-position model. The record is from RNAcentral.